Molecule: ribosomal RNA, 506 nt
Filed under: uncultured bacterium
Lineage: Bacteria
Description: partial 16S ribosomal RNA
Rfam family: Bacterial small subunit ribosomal RNA
Source: RNAcentral
AUUGAACGCUGGCGGCAGGCCUAACACAUGCAAGUCGGACGGUAGCACAGAGGAGCUUGCUCCUCGGGUGACGAGUGGCGGACGGGUGAGUAAUGUCUGGGGAUCUGCCCGAUAGAGGGGGAUAACCACUGGAAACGGUGGCUAAUACCGCAUAACGUCGCAAGACCAAAGAGGGGGACCUUCGGGCCUCUCACUAUCGGAUGAACCCAGAUGGGAUUAGCUAGUAGGCGGGGUAAUGGCCCACCUAGGCGACGAUCCCUAGCUGGUCUGAGACGAUGACCAGCCACACUGGAACUGAGACACGGGCCAGACUCCUACGGGAGGCAGCAGUGGGGAAUAUUGCACAAUGGGCGCAAGCCUGAUGCAGCCAUGCCGCGUGUAUGAAGAAGGCCUUCGGGUUGUAAAGUACUUUCGGCGGGGAGGAAGGCGGCGCGGUUAAUAACCGCGCCGAUUGACGUUACCCGCAGAAGAAGCACCGGCUAACUCCGUGCCAGCCGCCGCGGUAA